CGGAUGUACCAGUGGUGGAAGAUCCUGUCCGGCUGCACCGAGGCUCACAUCAGAAGCCGGCUUCGGUUUCACCACAAAAUAAGGCAUCUAGUGCCCAAUUCUGCCUCCAAAGCAGCCCUGGGUCACACUCGCUGUAGGACAGAUGUUAUUCUUCAGAAUCACGCCCUCUGGCAAAUGCCCAUCGUCGGACAAAUGGACGGAUGAAGUGUGACUCAGCCAUGAGAAGGGGGAUGCUCUGACCCGCGCGGCCAUGCCACCAACCCGGAGGACACGGUGCUGGGAGAAAAAGCCAGCCAGCAGUUCAGAAGUAACAGAGCAAACAGGGAGAGUCCUUCCUGGCCUGCCUGCACACCCCUGUAGCCCGCCCGGUCCUGGGGUGACUGCUGACGGAGAGGGCACUCCCUUCCAGAGUCUUCUCUGCACUUCCGCGGGCACACACAGCUAAGCGGCACACAGCGGCCGGGCUCGCUCCUCCGGACUGGGGUCUUGAGAUUUCACUGCACCUCACCCAGCCCUUUCCACAGAGCAGUUCAUCUUGGAGACUUUUCUCCUUGAAGGGUCUAAAGGCCAGUCUCUGUGUGCUGGUGUUUGUUGUCGGGGAGGAUGCAACAUUGGGGAAGGAAGUAAUCAUGUCUGGUGGCAGCUGGCACUGGCAGGCAGCGGGCACUCGAAGCCUGCACCUCACACCUGUCCCUGUGGGGCCUAUCCCUCCGCAUGACGGGCAUGAAGCCCCCACCUGCCUCCACUGCCCGGAUGAAAUGAGCUCGUAGAUGACGGAGUUGAUGACGUAGGAAUCAUUCUGGACUUGCAUCUCCACAUCGUAGCUGUGACUGUUCGCCACAGCGAGGAAGAUCCUCUCCCCGAUCUGGAAGACCUCCCAGUCUGCAGCACCGAACGUCUAGGACCAAAGGAGAGCAGGCCCCAGUGCUGUGCGUCCUAGGAGCACCACCUGCUGUCUCACCUCUUCCAGGAAGCCCACCCUGAUCUCUCUAGUCCUAGCCUCAGACACUGAAGCAACAUCAGGCAGAUGUCACCCACCCCUUGGGACUUCUCCGUGGGUCGCUAGCCCAGACCCUCCCCUUGGCUCAGGUGGUUCCAUUUCUGCCCCUUUGCUGCUGGCCCCCUUCUGAGGAUGCCCGUGUGAGUCCAGGACCACUGCUCCAGUCCUUGGUGUAGAUCAAAGCUGGACUUCACAUGCAGCCUGAAAAUGUAGAGUGGCCACCUUCUGGGCUGGGCUGCCACCUCUACCACAUCACCCGUGACAGAAGCCCCGUGUUUUUCAGUAACCACGUUCCACGAACACCUCCCGACUGCCUUCCAGAACACACGAAGAUCAACAAAGCUCAGAAUCCAGUCCCGAUGUCAUUUCAUGAAGAGCAGGUAGUCCAUCAAAGGGAUGGGCCCCAUGAGUGAAGGGCUGAGACCCCACCAUGGUGUGAGGCGUCCCAGGCACUCCCGUCACGGCCCAAACCAGGCUGCAGGCUCCAUCCCCAUGGGGCAGGCAUAGAGGAGGCAAUUCAUGUGGACACAGGGACACCUGUGGAUGCCCUGGCUCGGCUGCUUACCGCCGUGUGUUUGUGGCCAGGUCCAUGCUCCUGAGCCUCAGUUUCCACACCUGUGAGAUGGGUCUGAGGUGGAAUUGCCAACCAGCUGAGGAUGUGCAGACACAGACCACCUUCCAGGAAUCUCCAAAAGGCUUUCCAAAACAGGAAGACAAGGAAGGCUGCCAUCAGCAGGAAUUCCAGGGCUUCCAGAAUGAGGCUGUCAGGAGUGAAGGGAGCCAUGCUCCACACACAGGGCAGGGGCCAGGGCUGCCAGGUCUUGUUUAUCUGGGAGCGCCAGGCUGCCUGCCUGCACCUGAUCUGGGCACCCGAAGGCAGAGCUGCUCCUGCUUAGGGUCUGUGGCAACUGUCCUCCUCAGUGGGUGCUGCUGGGAGCUCCUCUGAUUCCUGGUGGGUGGCUUCUGGCCUCACCUCUUCACCCACGAUGUAGGGUGUGGGAUGGAUAUGCAGGGCCUCUGCUCUCCUUCUCCUCUCCCCACUCCCCCAAGCAGCCUGGGUUGUACCUCCACUAAUAAACACCAACACCCGUGCCCAGGGUUGGUUUGGC
Molecule: non-coding RNA, 2109 nt
Filed under: Pongo abelii (Sumatran orangutan)
Lineage: Eukaryota; Metazoa; Chordata; Mammalia; Primates; Hominidae
Source: RNAcentral